Molecule: ribosomal RNA, 468 nt
Filed under: uncultured bacterium
Lineage: Bacteria
Description: partial 16S ribosomal RNA
Rfam family: Bacterial small subunit ribosomal RNA
Source: RNAcentral
GACGAACGCUGGCGGCGUGCUUAACACAUGCAAGUCGAACGGAAAGGCCCUGCUUUUGUGGGGUGCUCGAGUGGCGAACGGGUGAGUAACACGUGAGUAACCUGCCCUUGACUUUGGGAUAACUUCAGGAAACUGGGGCUAAUACCGGAUAGGAGCUCCUGCUGCAUGGUGGGGGUUGGAAAGUUUCGGCGGUUGGGGAUGGACUCGCGGCGUAUCAGCUUGUUGGUGGGGUAGUGGCUUACCAAGGCGUUGACGGGUAGCCGGCCUGAGAGGGUGACCGGCCACAUUGGGACUGAGAUACGGCCCAGACUCCUACGGGAGGCAGCAGUGGGGAAUAUUGCACAAUGGGCGGAAGCCUGAUGCAGCAACGCCGCGUGCGGGAUGACGGCCUUCGGGUUGUAAACCGCUUUCGCCUGUGACGAAGCGUGAGUGACGGUAAUGGGUAAAGAAGCACCGGCUAACUACGUG